UACGUAGGUCCCGAGCGUUGUCCGGAUUUAUUGGGCGUAAAGCGAGCGCAGGUGGUUUAUUAAGUCUGGUGUAAGAGGCAGUGUCUCAACCAUUGUAUGCAUUGGAAACUGGUAGACUUGAGUGCAGGAGAGGAGAGUGGAAUUCCGUGUGUAGCGGUGAAAUGCGUAGAUAUAUGGAGGAACACCGGUGGCGAAAGCGGCUCUCUGGCCUGUAACUGACACUGAGGCUCGAAAGCGUGGGGAGCAAACAGG
Molecule: ribosomal RNA, 252 nt
Filed under: uncultured bacterium
Lineage: Bacteria
Description: partial 16S ribosomal RNA
Rfam family: Bacterial small subunit ribosomal RNA
Source: RNAcentral